AGCAUAAUCAUUUGCCUUUUAAUUGGAGGCUGGAAUGAAAGGAUAUACGAAAUUAAUGCUGUCUCUAUUUUAUUUAUAAAAAUUAUCUUUUAGGUGAAGAGACCUAGAUUUUAAUGAAAGACAAAAAGACCCUAUUGAGCUUUAUUUUUAUAUGGGAUUUUUAGAUUUAUUUACUUAAAUACUUUAAUAAAUUUGGUUGGGGCGACAUAGGAAUAUAUUAAAAUAUCUUCCUGUAAUUUUAAGAAAUUAUUAUUCUUUUUAGAGAUCUAUUUAGAUGAUAAGGAGAAUUAGUUACCAUAGGGAUAACAGGCUAAUCUUUUCGGAGAGUUCAAAUUGAUGAAAGGGGUUGGCAACCUCGAUGUUGGCUUAAGAUAUCCUAAAGAUGCAGCAGUCUUUGAGGGUUGGUUUGUUCAACCAUUAAAA
Molecule: ribosomal RNA, 423 nt
Filed under: Pseudomystides sp. 090-IOM-0258
Lineage: Eukaryota; Metazoa; Annelida; Polychaeta; Phyllodocida; Phyllodocidae
Description: partial 16S ribosomal RNA
Rfam family: Bacterial large subunit ribosomal RNA
Source: RNAcentral